Molecule: ribosomal RNA, 727 nt
Filed under: Penicillium atrofulvum
Lineage: Eukaryota; Fungi; Ascomycota; Eurotiomycetes; Eurotiales; Aspergillaceae
Description: LSU rRNA
Rfam family: Eukaryotic large subunit ribosomal RNA
Source: RNAcentral
AGCUCAAAUUUGAAAGCUGGCUCCUUCGGGGUCCGCAUUGUAAUUUGCAGAGGAUGCUUCGGGAGCGGUCCCCAUCUAAGUGCCCUGGAACGGGCCGUCAUAGAGGGUGAGAAUCCCGUAUGGGAUGGGGUGUCCGCGCCCGUGUGAAGCUCCUUCGACGAGUCGAGUUGUUUGGGAAUGCAGCUCUAAUUGGGUGGUAAAUUUCAUCUAAAGCUAAAUAUUGGCCGGAGACCGAUAGCGCACAAGUAGAGUGAUCGAAAGAUGAAAAGCACUUUGAAAAGAGAGUUAAAAAGCACGUGAAAUUGUUGAAAGGGAAGCGCUUGCGAUCAGACUCGCUCGCGGGGUUCAGCCGGCCUUCGGGCCGGUGUACUUCCCCGCGGGCGGGCCAGCGUCGGUUUGGGCGGCCGGUCAAAGGCCCCUGGAAUGUAACGCCUCUCGGGGCGUCUUAUAGCCAGGGGUGCCAUGCGGCCUGCCCGGACCGAGGAACGCGCUUCGGCUCGGACGCUGGCAUAAUGGUCGUAAGCGACCCGUCUUGAAACACGGACCAAGGAGUCUAACAUCUACGCGAGUGUUCGGGUGUCAAACCCGUGCGCGCAGUGAAAGCGAACGGAGGUGGGAACCCCUCGGGGUGCACCAUCGACCGAUCCUGAUGUCUUCGGAUGGAUUUGAGUAAGAGCGUAGCUGUUGGGACCCGAAAGAUGGUGAACUAUGCCUGAAUAGGGCGAAG